CUUGGCACUGAAAGCCGAUGAAGGACGUGAUAUACUGCGAUAAGUUUCGGGGAGCUGUAUGUAAGCUUUGAUCCGAAAAUUUCCGAAUGGGGAAACCCACCACUUUAUGUGGUACUUUAAACUGAAUACAUAGGUUUAAAGAGACAACCUGGAGAACUGAAACAUCUAAGUAACCAGAGGAAAAGAAAUCAAUUGAGAUUCCGUUAGUAGUGGCGAGCGAACGCGGAGUAGGCCAGUAGUUUUGUUAGAAAAAUUUGAAUAGUUUGGAAAUGCUAACCAUAGAGGGUGAUAGUCCCGUAUGAGUAAUGUCUAACAAAAUUCUUGAGUAAAGCGGGACACGAGAAAUCCUGCUCGAAUAUAGGGGGACCACCCUCUAAGCCUAAAUACUCUUCAGUGACCGAUAGUGAACUAGUACCGUGAGGGAAAGGUGAAAAGAACCCCUAUUAGGGGAGUGAAAUAGAACCUGAAACUGCAUGCCUACAAUCAGUCCGAGCCCUUUUUAGGGUGAGGGCGUACCUUUUGUAUAAUGGGUCAGUGACUUAAUUUAUUAAGCAAGCUUAAGCCAUCUAGGUGUAGGCGCAGCGAAAGCAAGUCUUAAUAGGGCGAUUAGUUUAAUGAAUUAGACCCGAAAACGAAUGAGCUUACCAUGAGCAGGUUGAAAGUUGGGUAACACCAACCGGAGGACCGAACCAGUUGACGUUGAAAAGUCUUUGGAUGACUUGUGGUAAGGGGUGAAAGGCCAACCAAAUUCGUAGAUAGCUGGUUUUCCGCGAAAACUAUUUAGGUAGUGCGUCGAAUAAAUAGAUGUUUAGAGGUAGAGCACUAAAUGGGCUAGGGGGAAGAGAUUCUUACCAAACCUAAUAAAACUCCGAAUGCUAGACAUUGUUCUUCGGCAGACAGACUGUGGGUGCUAAGGUCCAUGGUCGAGAGGGAAAGAGCCCAGACCACCAGAUAAGGUCCCAAAAUCAUGAUUAAGUGUGAAAGGAUGUGGAAAUUCCUUAACAGCCGGGAGGUUGGCUUAGAAGCAGCCAUCCUUUAAAGAUAGCGUAACAGCUCACCGGUCUAAUAGAGUUUCUGCGCCGAAGAUGUAACGGGGCUAAAAUCAUGUACCGAAUCUGUGGCUUUGCAAAGUUUUCGAACUUUGUAAGGGGUAGCGGAACGUUCUGUAAGCCUGCGAAGGGAUACCCGUGAGGGAUCCUGGAGGUAUCAGAAGUGCGAAUGCUGACAUAAGUAACGAUAAACGAAGUGAAAAACUUCGUCGCCGAAAAUCUAAGGGUUUCUAUGCAAGGUUAAUCCGCGUAGAGUUAGUCGGCACCUAAGGCGAGGGCGAAAGCCGUAGUCGAUGGAAACAAGGUUAAUAUUCCUUGACCUGAUGGUAGUGACGGAUUUCGUAAGUUGUGAGUUCUUAAUGGAUUGAACUUGCCGCGAAGAGGUCCCAAGAAAUAGCUCCAUCAUGAAGACCGUACCCGAAACCGACACAGGUAGAUUAAUAGAGUAUAUUUAGGCGCUUGAGAGAAUGAUGUUGAAGGAACUCGGCAAAAUGCUUCCGUAACUUCGGGAUAAGGAAGACCCUUUUGUAGGCAACUAUAGAAGGGUGGCACAAGCCAGGGAGAAGCGACUGUUUAUCAAAAACACAGGGCUCUGCUAACACGUAAGUGGAUGUAUAGGGUCUGACGCCUGCCCGGUGCUGGAAGGUUAAUGCGGUUGGUGCAAGCUAACUUCUGAAGCCCCAGUAAACGGCGGCCGUAACUAUAACGGUCCUAAGGUAGCGAAAUUCCUUGUCGGGUAAGUUCCGACCUGCAUGAAUGGCGUAACGAUUUCUCCGCUGUCUCCAACAUCAACUCAGUGAAAUUGAAUUCUCCGUGAAGAUGCGGAGUUCGCGUAGUUAGACGGAAAGACCCCGUGCACCUUACU
This 1914-nucleotide ribosomal RNA is filed under the name marine metagenome. RNAcentral's name for it is "bacterial LSU rRNA". It matches the Rfam family "Bacterial large subunit ribosomal RNA", at positions 32 to 2105 of the family's 2925-position model. The record is from RNAcentral.